ACAAAGAAGUAAAAUUUACAUUUAGUUUCGGCCUAAAAUUAAGGAAUAUUCCUCAUGUU
RNAcentral lists this transfer RNA (59 nucleotides) under Exitianus nanus. RNAcentral's name for it is "tRNA-Arg". Lineage: Eukaryota; Metazoa; Arthropoda; Insecta; Hemiptera; Cicadellidae. The record is from RNAcentral.